This 128-nucleotide ribosomal RNA is filed under the name Nannospalax galili (Upper Galilee mountains blind mole rat). The record is from RNAcentral. Lineage: Eukaryota; Metazoa; Chordata; Mammalia; Rodentia; Spalacidae.
UACUAUGUCCAUACCAUCCUGAAUGUUCAUGACCCUAUCUGAUCUCAUAAGCUAAACAGGGUUGGGCCUGGUUAGUACCUAGGUGGGAGACUCUUACCUUCUUUUUUAUUGAGACAGGGUCUUACUAU